This 420-nucleotide unclassified non-coding RNA is filed under the name soil metagenome. RNAcentral's name for it is "partial contains 5.8S ribosomal RNA, internal transcribed spacer 2, and large subunit ribosomal RNA". The stretch from base 1 to 120 matches the Rfam family "5.8S ribosomal RNA", at positions 35 to 154 of the family's 154-position model. The record is from RNAcentral.
GAUGAAGAACGUAGCGAAAUGCGAUAAGUAAUGUGAAUUGCAGAAUUCAGUGAAUCAUCGAAUCUUUGAACGCAUCUUGCGCUCCUUGGUAUUCCUUGGAGCAUGCCCGUUUGAGUAUCAUGAGCAAAUCUCAAAGUCAAUUCCUUUUGUUAAUUCAAUUGGUUUUGCUUUGGACUUGGAGGUCUUGCAGAUUUCACAGUCUGCUCCUCUUAAAUGCAUUAGCUGGAUCUCAGUAAUUAUGCUUGGUUCCACUCGGCGUGAUAAGUAUCACUCGCUGAGGACACUGUUAAAAAGGUGGCCAGGAAAAUACUGAUUGAACCGCUUCUAACGGUCUAUUAAGUUAGACAAUUGACCCCUUAAGUUUGAUCUCAAAUCAGGUAGGACUACCCGCUGAACUUAAGCAUAUCAAUAAGCGGAGGA